AUUGAACGCUGGCGGCAGGCCUAACACAUGCAAGUCGAGCGGAGCGGCGGACGGGUGAGUAAUGCCUAGGAAUCUGCCUGGUAGUGGGGGAUAACGUCCGGAAACGGGCGCUAAUACCGCAUACUAUCAGAUGAGCCUAGGUCGGAUUAGCUAGUUGGUGGGGUAAAGGCCUACCAAGGCGACGAUCCGUAACUGGUCUGAGAGGGGGAUCAGUCACACUGGAACUGGGAAAAGGUCAAGACUCCUACGGGAGGCAGCAGGAGGGAAUGUUCGGCAAUGGGGGGAAACCUGACCGAGCAAAGCCGCGUGAGUGAAGACGGCCUUCGGGUUGUAAAGCUCCGUUAAUCGGGACGCGGUACCGGAAUAGAAAGCCACGGCUAACUACGUGCCAGCAGCCGCGGUAAUAC
Molecule: ribosomal RNA, 407 nt
Filed under: uncultured bacterium
Lineage: Bacteria
Description: partial 16S ribosomal RNA
Rfam family: Bacterial small subunit ribosomal RNA
Source: RNAcentral